UACGCGUUAGCCUAAUGGUAAGGCGUUGUGUUUCGGCCACAGAGGUUACAGGUUCAAAUCUUGUACGCGUUU
RNAcentral lists this transfer RNA (72 nucleotides) under Monilinia fructigena. It matches the Rfam family "tRNA". From Rfam's summary of the family: Transfer RNA (tRNA) molecules are approximately 80 nucleotides in length. Their secondary structure includes four short double-helical elements and three loops (D, anti-codon, and T loops). Lineage: Eukaryota; Fungi; Ascomycota; Leotiomycetes; Helotiales; Sclerotiniaceae. RNAcentral also lists the same sequence under 1 other name. The record is from Rfam by way of RNAcentral.